GUAGGUGACAAGCGUUAUCCGGAAUUACUGGGCGUAAAGCGCACGCAGGCGGUGCGUUAAGUCUGACGUGAAAUCUCCCGGCUUAACUGGGAGGGGUCGUUGGAAACUGGCGGACUUGAGGCGAUGAGAGGGGUGUAGAAUUCCCGGUGUAGUGGUGGAAUGCGUAGAUAUCGGGAGGAAUACCAGUGGCGAAAGCGGCACCCUGGCAUUAGCCUGACGCUCAUGUGCGAAGGCGUGGGGAGCGAACGGGAUUAGAUACCCCGGUAGUCCACGCGGUAAACGAUGAGUACUAGGUGUGGGUGGAGUGAAAUCCAUCUGUGCCGAAGCAAACGCGCUAAGUACUCCGCCUGGGGAGUACGGCCGCAAGGCUAAA
RNAcentral lists this ribosomal RNA (373 nucleotides) under uncultured bacterium. RNAcentral's name for it is "bacterial SSU rRNA". It matches the Rfam family "Bacterial small subunit ribosomal RNA", at positions 527 to 898 of the family's 1533-position model. The record is from RNAcentral.